ACAAAAAUGAGCACAAAUCCACCAAUUACUCAAUAAAUGACCAAGAUAAUUUGAAAAAUACCACAGAUUUUCCAAGACGUCGACUUUAUCUACCAAUUCGUUAUAUAUUUUUUUUACAAAUCCAAAGAAGCAAUGACAAAAUCAUAUAAUUUUACAGAGCAAGGCGGCGCACGGCCGCCUGUGCUGGCGUCACGUCACGUCUUAUAAUUAGACUUAUUAUUACGUCUUUUGCUGUUUUGCCAUAGCUGUUUGCCAUUGCUGCUUGCCAGUUUUGCCAUUUGCCAGUAUGUCAUAAAUG
Molecule: non-coding RNA, 298 nt
Organism: Paramuricea clavata
Lineage: Eukaryota; Metazoa; Cnidaria; Anthozoa; Malacalcyonacea; Plexauridae
Source: the annotation of a GenBank genome assembly